Molecule: ribosomal RNA, 497 nt
Filed under: uncultured bacterium
Lineage: Bacteria
Description: partial 16S ribosomal RNA
Rfam family: Bacterial small subunit ribosomal RNA
Source: RNAcentral
GAUGAACGCUGGCGGCGUGCCUAAUACAUGCAAGUCGAGCGAACAGACGAGGAGCUUGCUCCUCUGACGUUAGCGGCGGACGGGUGAGUAACACGUGGAUAACCUACCUAUAAGACUGGGAUAACUUCGGGAAACCGGAGCUAAUACCGGAUAAUAUAUUGAACCGCAUGGUUCAAUAGUGAAAGACGGUUUUGCUGUCACUUAUAGAUGGAUCCGCGCCGCAUUAGCUAGUUGGUAAGGUAACGGCUUACCAAGGCAACGAUGCGUAGCCGACCUGAGAGGGGGGAUAGCCCACCUGGAAAUGAGGACAGGGCCAGAACCCUACGGGGGGGAACAGGGGGGAAAUUUUGCCAAUGGGGGGAAGCCUGAACGGGCCAACCCCGGGGGGGGAAGAAGGGCUUUGGGUUCUAAAACCCUUUUUUUGGGGAAGAAAAAAAGGGGGAAAAAACCACGCUGUUCUGACGGUACCCAAAGAAAAAGCCCCGGCUAAAUUCGUG